AGGGUUUGAUCAUGGCUCAGAUUGAACGCUGGCGGUAGGCUUAACACAUGCAAGUCGUGCGAGAAAGUAUCUUCGGAUAUGAGUAGAGCGGCGGACGGGUGAGUAACGCGUAGGAAUCUACCUAGUAGAAGGGGAUAGCCCGGGGAAACCCGGAUUAAUACCGUAUACCUCCUUCGGGAGAAAGAAGGCCUCUCUUUGAAGCUUUCGCUACUAGAUGAGCCUGCGUAAGAUUAGCUUGUUGGUGAGGUAAAGGCUCACCAAGGCGACGAUCUUUAGCUGGUCUGAGAGGACGAUCAGCCACAUUGGGACUGAGACACGGCCCAGACUCCUACGGGAGGCAGCAGUGGGGAAUAUUGGACAAUGGGCGCAAGCCUGAUCCAGCCAUACCGCGUGUGUGAAGGAGGCCUUCGGGUUGUAAAGCACUUUAAGCAGGGAGAAAAAGUUAUAAGUUAAUACCUUAUAACCCUGAUGUUACCUGCAGAAUAAGCACCGGCUAAUUCCGUGCCAGCAGCCGCGGUAAUAC
This 523-nucleotide ribosomal RNA is filed under the name uncultured bacterium. RNAcentral's name for it is "bacterial SSU rRNA". It matches the Rfam family "Bacterial small subunit ribosomal RNA", at positions 8 to 526 of the family's 1533-position model. The record is from RNAcentral.